GACGAACGCUGGCGGCGUGCUUAACACAUGCAAGUCGAACGGAAAGGCCCUGCUUUUGUGGGGUGCUCGAGUGGCGAACGGGUGAGUAACACGUGAGUAACCUGCCCUUGACUUUGGGAUAACUUCAGGAAACUGGGGCUAAUACCGGAUAGGAGCUCCUGCUGCAUGGUGGGGGUUGGAAAGUUUCGGCGGUUGGGGAUGGACUCGCGGCUUAUCAGCUUGUUGGUGGGGUAGUGGCUUACCAAGGCUUUGACGGGUAGCCGGCCUGAGAGGGUGACCGGCCACAUUGGGACUGAGGUACGGCCCAGACUGCUACGGGAGGCAGCAGUGGGGAAUAUUGCACAAUGGGCGGAAGCCUGAUGCAGCAACGCCGCGUGCGGGAUGACGGCCUUCGGGUUGUAAACCGCUUUCGCCUGUGACGAAGCGUGAGUGACGGUAACGGGUAAAGAAGCACCGGCUAACUACGUG
This 468-nucleotide ribosomal RNA is filed under the name uncultured bacterium. Its description in RNAcentral is "partial 16S ribosomal RNA". It matches the Rfam family "Bacterial small subunit ribosomal RNA", at positions 28 to 507 of the family's 1533-position model. The record is from RNAcentral.